AGUGAACGCUGGCGGUAGGCCUAACACAUGCAAGUCGAACGGCAGCACAGUAAGAGCUUGCUCUUACGGGUGGCGAGUGGCGGACGGGUGAGGAAUACAUCGGAAUCUACUUUUUCGUGGGGGAUAACGUAGGGAAACUUACGCUAAUACCGCAUACGACCUACGGGUGAAAGCAGGGGAUCUUCGGACCUUGCGCGAUUGAAUGAGCCGAUGUCGGAUUAGCUAGUUGGCGGGGUAAAGGCCCACCAAGGCGACGAUCCGUAGCUGGUCUGAGAGGAUGAUCAGCCACACUGGAACGUGAACACGGUCCAGACUCCUACGGGAGGCAGCAGUGGGGAAUAUUGGACAAUGGGCGCAAGCCUGAUCCAGCCAUACCGCGUGGGUGAAGAAGGCCUUCGGGUUGUAAAGCCCUUUUGCUGGGAAAGAAAAGCAGCAGGUUAAUACCCCGCUGUUCUGACGGUACCCAAAGAAUAAGCACCGGCUAACUUCGUG
RNAcentral lists this ribosomal RNA (492 nucleotides) under uncultured bacterium. RNAcentral describes it as "partial 16S ribosomal RNA". It matches the Rfam family "Bacterial small subunit ribosomal RNA", at positions 29 to 507 of the family's 1533-position model. The record is from RNAcentral.